This 270-nucleotide ribosomal RNA is filed under the name uncultured bacterium. RNAcentral describes it as "partial 16S ribosomal RNA". It matches the Rfam family "Bacterial small subunit ribosomal RNA", at positions 524 to 793 of the family's 1533-position model. The record is from RNAcentral.
UACGUAGGGUGCGAGCGUUAAUCGGAAUUACUGGGCGUAAAGCGUGCGCAGGCGGUUUUGUAAGCCAGAUGUGAAAUCCCCGGGCUUAACCUGGGAAUGGCAUUUGGGACUGCAAGGCUGGAGUGUGGCAGAGGAGACUGGAAUUCCUGGUGUAGCAGUGAAAUGCGUAGAUAUCAGGAGGAAUACCGAUGGCGAAGGCAGGUCUCUGGGCUGACACUGACGCUCAUGCACGAAAGCGUGGGGAGCAAACAGGAUUAGAACGUACCGUAG